GGUCAGUGAAGAGUUCAGACCACCCCCGCCCAGAGCUGGGCGGGGGAGGGGAAGCCAUGUGGCCUAAGCUGAGAAAGCACCUCUACUGCUACAUUACAGAUGCAAAAUGAACUUGCUGUAGGAGAACUUUAUUGUCUUUCAAGACAUUUGGGGUUUUUUUGCAGAGACUAUCAUCUGGCACCUUAGUGCAGCACUAAACUUUCAUGUGACACAAACCAACAGAAUAAUUUUGGAACACUGUAGUGCUUCUACAGCACUGAAUAUUUUUAGGGAUGUGCUGCAUGGAUCUUUGGACAAUUUUUUUUUUGUACAAAUGAAAUAAAUGUCUACUCAACAGGAUUCUACAAGCACUGAGUUUACAGAUAGUGAAAACACUGCAGAGUUCCAUAGAGCUCAGCCUGAUUCAUCUAUUUGUAGUUACACAAAAAUAACUUAAAAUGGUGUGGGAGAAAUUAAAAAUGUUGCUUUUAACACCAAAUUACUACUUUUACUUUUUUUUUUCUUUAAACUUUACAACUUGUUUCAGUAUGUUUUCCUGAGGUGUUCUUGUUUUCUGUAGUAUGCCCAAUUAUGUCAGCUUUAAUCAAGCCAUUCUAUAGAGCACUGAACAUACUUAACGAUACAGUGACUGGUAAUAUUUAUUAUGCUGCAUUGAAAACUUCAUAAAAGCCUAGAAAUUCAAUUGCUUCAUUAGUUCUGCACAGUGCUUGUUCUUUAUCGUUUUAAUAUCUCCACUUUGCAUGCUGAUUUGAAAUGAGUUCACUGGAUUUUUUUAAAUAUGCCUUAAUAUUUUGACAUGGCACAAAUUACAUCCAAUCAUAACAAAUACUCAUAAGUGCUUAACUUGUGAAAUUGUUUUAAAGCAAAUAUGCCAUAGAAUUGUGGUUUGAAAAAUUUAAAUUUUACUUUAGGAAAUAUUUGCUAUUUCAUUAGCUUUUAAAACUAUGGCUGUUGGGCACCUUUCAUUGAUGCUGCACAAGUUUCUACUCACUAGCUAAAAAUUCUUCAGUUAACUACAAACUAAUUCUGUAUGAAACCAUAGCUGUUUAUGGCUCAAUUACUAUUCAUCAUUGAGGUCAGAUUACAUUACAGGUCACUGUCUGGCCUUAACUGAUAAUUUUGCUUGUGCCAAGCCCUGAGAGAUGCAAACUACCAUGUGUGUAUGUGUGUGUGCACAGACGUGCAAGCGCCUUAGAGAAUGGACCUUCAGUAGUGCUUAGCAGUGUUGACUACACUGUCUGAAAGGCUUUUUUAAAAUAAUCAGCUUCAUUAAAAUGUUGUAGUAGUUUAAAGUGACUUCUGCAAGCUCUAUGUUGCAUAGCAUUAUAUAUAGCAUGGAUGGGAGUAUGUCUGACAUGGGGUCUUAGGUAAUUGAAAAGAAGAUAAGCAGUAUUUUUGGCAGCUGGAGUCUGCCAAUAAUUUAAAACUCUUUGAGUUUUCCUGACAGCUGAAAAUGGCAGUUAUAUCAAACAAUUCUUUCUUAAAAUGUCAAUGGCUAGGAAAAUCAAUAUGCCUGUUAGCACUACCCUGCUUCUUCCAGCUGUGCUCCCCUAUUUUGGAGGAAAGCAUUGCUUCAUGUUGCUUUCUAAUAGAAGGUUGAUCUCAUAAGAGGCUUAUUCAAGGAUUCUAAAUCUUACUGCCUCUUCUUGAGUUUUCCAAGCACCACAUUGCUCUGUGCAUCUCCCAUGCUCUUCUUAACUGGACUUUUCAGUUCUUCUUUUCCUGGUUCUGCUCAUGCCAGAGGGAAUCUCCAAGUUCACUUGUUUGUCUUGGAAAUGAGGGCCUUGUUUUCAUUUAUGGCCCUAGAUAGUGAAUGGUGACAAAAUUGAAAGAAAUGCAAAGAGAAAGAAAAAGUCUUCUGGACUAUGGGAGCAGUCAAGAGAGCCACAGUAAGUCCAGUGGAGUACUGCCAUCUAUGCAAAUGAUGAUGUGCGACCACUACAUUUGAACACCUGAAUUAGAUGGGACUUCUUUAUUUCAAGGCCUUAGAGAAUGUGAAUGUGUCAUGGUUUGACUUUGGCAUAAUGCCAGUGCCCCUAUGAAAGGUAUAUUUCCAAAAUGGUUAUUGUGAGAUGUGACUCGGAAACAGAACAAAGCAGGCUCUAACUUUGGAAUGGAGAGAAAAACACAACACUUUAUUAAUUUACAACAUAAGAGACAAAAGGGAAAAAAAAAGAAAAACAAACACACACAACAAUCUACAAUGGAAUACUUCUAAAACACUUCUCUCCACUCUUCUAACACUCAAUUUUCAAUCCAAUACUAUCUUCCACACAACUUCCUUCAGUUUAUCAGGAGAGAGGAAUCUCCCUCUUGCGCCAUGGGCCUCCCCAGGAAACACAGUUGGAACUUCUUGUGCUUCUAUGUCACACAUGGCAGCGGCCGAAGAGAAUUUGCUGUGGUGACUAUUUUCCUUCCAUAUCUAGUGCUUUCACUACUGUCUAUGGAUCUAAACUGCUUCUUAGGUUUUUUUAAGAAUGCCUUGCCUAGUUCUAAGAAGUGGCCGCCUCUCACCAUUUGGGACACCUCUCCCUCCCAUAUUUACUCCCCUGGAGCCUGGGGGUCUCAGGAACAGAGAACCUUCGCUGAAGGCAGAAGGUUCUACUACACCCUCCCUAUCAGUCUCUGUUCUCUCUACUUCUCAUAAUGGCCUUGUCACUCCUGGCUUUUGGCCAACCGCCUCCCCCAAGGUGUAGUCACUACAUUACAGGAAGAUUUGGUUCCGUCUCGUGGCCAUGUAAGAGAAAAGUCUAGCUAAAGCUACUCUAAAUUAUCUCCUCUAUUUAGGGCGCUUCUUAUCUGCUGGUAUUUCUUCACUUACUCAAGCCUUCUUCUCAUCUGCCUAUCCUCCGUCCCUUCUCAGGUCUCAGCUAGGGAGGAUCAGUGUUUCUUACAGCUUCCAUUGUUUCAGCACCAACGGGAUUAAAACCUCAGCUGAGGUCUGCCGGCCUGGGCACCUUGCCCCCCCUCCUCCUUUCUUCUCCUGGCCACGGUGCUGGCACAAGAUAUCAAAUUUCAAGCCAGCACAGUCUCUAUCACUCUCUCCGGGGGGGGGCUGCCCAAAACAUCCCAGGUCUCCUCCACCCCUGCACCUUGCAGGGCUCCGGCCUCCCUUCCCACAGGCCGCAUGGCCUCCCCCUCCCCCACCCAGAUGCAGCUGGGCAGGGGAGGAGGUCAGAUUCAACUUACUGCCAGACUCCAAAAGAGAAAGCCCCUCUGGGAAUCCUCUGCUUUUAACCUCUGUGUGUUCUCAGAGGUGUAUCCAGGUCCCCAGUGGCCACAACAGGUGUCAAUUUCUAAUCUGGCCACUGAUUGGUUUGACCACAACUUUCCCAGAAACUCACUUCCUGGUCAAACCACGACAGAAUGUGAUAGAAUUAGAAGUUUACUCUGGUUUUCCUGUACUGUUUCUGGACUCGCUUACCUACAAUUUAGCUUUUAUCUUCUUUUAGUAUUAAUAAAAGUGACAGAAGAAGACAGGUGGGAUUGAAUUAGUCUAUUUUUGGUAGUUUUACACAGAAUAGUGAACGCAGGUGAUAUGGAUGUAUAGGUAAGUUAACAUAAUAGGCCUUUCUGGAGCUCUUCAUGUGGCUAUCACUGUAUACUUUCCAGUGUAAAUCAGGGGCUGGUGAGGCCUUCAAGUAGGGCAAAUAUGGUUUUAAACACCUGUCCUUCAUGCACUCCUAAUGUACCUGACAAAGACAUGGAGCUCAAGCCCAUAAACCAUGUAAAUGCCUAAUUAAUUGUUCAUCUACAGUCUAAGGGUUUAAUAAAUAAAUUUUUGAUUGGUCUACCUCAGUAUAUGUACACUGUGGGACCUUAUGGCAAGAUCAGAUGUUGAUGAAGUGCUGUUGAAGUUUAUUGGGAUUUUAGUGUUUCCCUGUGUAGCUCUACAACUGAAAGGGGUUAGAAGUUACAAACACGUUAAUUCAGAAAUCUGUCUUCCAUUCAGUUCUAAAUCUUGCUCUAAUAGUCUAUAGAAAAGAAUAUAUGUUUGCAAGUUUAUCACUACCUUUGGAAUCACCUCAAUUUUUUACAGUGCAAUAAAGGUACAGCACCUGUAGUCAGUGUUAACACAUAUAGCUGGUGAUUGCUCAUAAUUGUAACUGCUUGUUUAAUGUGCUUAACCCAAUAAAAUCUCAACAGUGCUUUUAAAAACAAAGCAGACAAAACCCCCCCAACCAUAACCCUAUUAUUCACAUCAUGUGACAUUAGAUAUAUUCAUUACAAAAAACUAUUUUCCAUGGGAAGGGAUUAGGAUGGUGUCUGCAUCAUAUGUUUGCUUUCUAGCUUUUUAGAAAGACUAGACUACAAAUUAAUUAAAAUAAGAGGCAAGCCUUGGGUCAAAGUCCUGUUUUACUUCUUUGAAGCUUCAGAAACAGUUAAUUUUUAUAUUGACUAAAACAAUACUGACUUCUCUUUUCUUUUAACUUUUAAAUCUGAAUGUUUGGCUCAGUAUAGAUAUUUCCUGAGUCUUGAUGAGUUUGUGAUUAAUUUAUUUUUAUCUUAAUGGAGAUAGCAUUACUGUGAGGUAAUUUUUACAGCUACUUAAACUGGCAAAUAAUUGUAAUAAAAAAGCAUCUUGUAGCAUUAUCCUCAGCAGCAAUGAGAAUUAAUUAUCCCAGGCUCAGAGUCUCGUAAGUUAUAGUUUUCAUUAAAAAUAGGUAAUUCACCGAAAAUAUAUAGUGAAAAUAAAUAAGAUUUAGGAGCCUGGAAAGAUUACCUUUAUAAAAAUUAUUUAUUACAUUAAGCAUUCUGUUUUAUUAUUAGAGUAUUUUUUGUUUCAAAGGUCCAGCUUUAUGUGCAGGCAUAUAAAAUUGUAACAAAUUUUUUACGGCUUCCUCCUGUUAGGUUUGAAUAGCUUUCAUUUGUAUGUCUUUGCUAUAUGUGUCUAAAGAGCUUUGCUUAAUCUUUUGUGCAGUGGGACAGAAGCAUGCCUUUAUAAGGCAUAUGUUUAAACUGUAAAUGUAACAUCUAGUUAUACAUUUAAAAGCCAUGUAGAUGGGGAUUUUCAUAUAUACAUUCAGUGGGGUUUUGUUUGGGAUUUUGUUUUUGUGGUUUCUUGGGGGUUUUGGGUCUUUCUGAAGAAUGAAGUUUGGAAUUUUAUGGGCUUGUAAAAUCUUUAAGUGCAAGAACUGCCCAUCAGCAAUAUUUUAAAAUGGAUGAUCUAGCAAGAAAUAUCAAUAUGAAUUGUGGAAAUAAUAGGCAAAAGAUGCAACCUAUCCAAAAUUGGUUUGUGCCAUUGUUAUGUUUGGUAUUUUUGUGUGUCAUCUAACCUGAGAAUAUUUAUUUUUAUUUGUUGUGCAAUAAGAUACACAACACUGCCACCUCUGGGAAUGUAGGACUGCAAAAUUUCAAUAGACUGAGUCUGAAAGCUUGUCUUGCUCCAUUGUUGUUAUAAUGGCAUAAUAAGUCUUAGGAGAUUCAUUUUUUUCCCUACUGGAUGGGAAUGGAACUAUACAGCUAACCUAUUUUUUCAAUUCUAUGAAUCUUACCAUUAAGUAGAAUUGGAAAGAGCCAACUAGUCUGUACAAUAACACAUUAAUCUUAAUAAAUGCAUUUCCUCAGCCAUACUUAAGAAAUGUUUUUAGUACAUAAGGUUGUAUUUUGCAGAAAAAUAUAUGUUUUGUAUCUGCUCUGGUAAUUAAUUCAGUUUUUCUGCCUAAAGUUAAUAACAACAAAAAAAAAAGCCACACAUACUAGAUUGUUUGCAUAAGAUUCACUUAACUGUAAUUGACAGUUAUUGACUUCUGUCUGACAGAUGCUGAGAAAGCAUUAAGGUGCAUAACAUCAGCAUGGAAAAAUACUUCAUUCUCUGCUUUCAUGAAAAUUUGUAAUCAUGUACAGACACUCUCUAGGUACCUGCCUUUUGUGUGAAGCCAACAGUCAUAUUUUUACAAUGGAGUUUGAUAUGCCUAUACACAAAUUUAAAACUAUUCUUGUUGCUUGAGCCAUUUGAGUGGAUCCUCAAGGCUCCUUGGAAACUUUUUGAAGUCACCAUGAUCUGCUGAGAUCAGAUUGCAAGACAGGGGCUAAAAGGCCAACUCUGCAAACUCUUACAGUGGUAACUUUAUUACUAACCUAGAUAGUUGUCUUAGGUUACAAGAUGUAGCUGGGGGUGUGUAUUCUAUUACCAUCUGUUAGAGGUGGAACAGUUAUCUUCUGUUAAUUGGGCAGUGUUCCUUAUCUUUCCACAAACCAAUCCUCCCUCCAGAGUGAUAUCUUCUGUUAAUGGGCCAUUGAGUCUCACUGCAUGACUGAUAAAAAUUACAUAAUCCCAUGGUGAGAUGCUCUGUCCAGAGGGAGGAGCCAAGCAUUCCUACCUGGAUAUAAUCUGAGACUUGGAUGAUUACAAGCAGCCUUUUCCCACUGGAUUCACAGAGGAGCAGCUUUCUUCUCCACUGGAUUCCCAGAAGAAGACCAGGCCUAUCUACACUACUAACGGACCUUCAGAGGAAAACUACACCCUUCUACAGGAUCACUGCUUCAACAGAACCACAUUUGUCACUGCAGGAGGACUGCAGCCACCAUUUAAUGGGACUGCUACCACCACCCUGACCAACAGGGUGUCAGGUCGUAUUCUGACUCUAUCAAUAGGUUUUUUGUACUAUUGCAUUUAUAUUUUUAAUUUUCUUAUUAAAAGACUAUUAUUCCUAUUCCCAUAUCUUUACCUAAGAGCCCCUUAAUUUCAAAAUUAUAAUAAUUCAGAGGGAGGGGGUUUACAUUUUCCAUUUCAAGAGAAGCUCCUGCCUUCCUUAGCAGACACCUGUCUUUUCAAACCAAGACAAUAGUUCCACUGAAAGCAGUGGAAUCAUUCAUGUGGACAAAAUUGCUUACAUGUGUGUCUGCAAAAUGGAGUCCGAAGUUUGGAAGGACAGACUGAUGUGUCUGUAUAUUUUAACUUUAAAAACUUUGGUUUAAUACAGUUCUUUUAUCCAAGUAAUUUAAUUUUCUGCAACAACAUUAAGGUUAAAGGACAAUAAACCAAUACACUCAUUAAGCUUUUAUCCUUGAUAUGCGGCAUAAUGAAAAUACUGAAACUAUCAGAGUAUAAGACUAUAUUUUUUACUUGGUUUCACUUCAGAGAUGACUUUUUCAUACUGUUUCCUGUGUGAUUUUUAUACUAUUGGUGGCUAGUUUUGGUCUGAAUAAGUUUUUUGAGAUUAUUGCUUAAUGUUUUGACCUUACAAUAGUCAUGCUUGUAUCCAGUGUUUUGCCAAAUAAUAUUAUAUGCUUGUUAAUAAAAGCAAAAAAGCUACUUAAA
Long non-coding RNA from Passer domesticus (house sparrow), 7264 nucleotides. RefSeq lists it as uncharacterized. The record is from RefSeq and is a predicted model, not a curated record. NCBI's taxonomy places the organism in Eukaryota, Metazoa, Chordata, Aves, Passeriformes, Passeridae. The transcript has 2 exons.